CCUACGGGAGGCUGCAGUGAGGAAUAUUGGUCAAUGGACGAGAGUCUGAACCAGCCAAGUAGCGUGAAGGAUGACUGCCCUAUGGGUUGUAAACUUCUUUUAUAUGGGAAUAAAAUGUUCCACGUGUGGGAUUUUGUAUGUACCAUAUGAAUAAGGAUCGGCUAACUCCGUGCCAGCAGCCGCGGUAAUACGGAGGAUCCGAGCGUUAUCCGGAUUUAUUGGGUUUAAAGGGAGCGUAGGUGGAUUGGUAAGUCAGUUGUGAAAGUUUGCGGCUCAACCGUAAAAUUGCAGUUGAAACUGGCAGUCUUGAGUACAGUAGAGGUGGGCGGAAUGCGUGGUGUAUCGGUGAAAUGCUUAGAUAUCACGAAGAACUCCGAUUGCGAAGGCAGUUCACUGGACUGCAACUGACACUGAGGCUCGAAAGUGUGGGUAUCAAACAGGAUUAGAUACCCGUGUAGUC
RNAcentral lists this ribosomal RNA (460 nucleotides) under uncultured bacterium. RNAcentral's name for it is "partial 16S ribosomal RNA". It matches the Rfam family "Bacterial small subunit ribosomal RNA", at positions 338 to 795 of the family's 1533-position model. The record is from RNAcentral.